GAACGCGAAGAACCUUACCAAGUCUUGACAUACUGUGAGGACACAAGAGAUUGUGUUGUUCUGGCCUUUGGUUAGACACAGAUACAGGUGGUGCAUGGUUGUCGUCAGCUCGUGUCGUGAGAUGUUGGGUUAAGUCCCGCAACGAGCGCAACCCUUAUAUCUAGUUGCCAGCAGUAAGAUGGGGACUCUAGAUAGACUGCCAGUGAUAAACUGGAGGAAGGUGGGGAUGACGUCAAAUCAUCAUGCCCCUUAUGACUUGGGCUACACACGUGCUACAAUGGAUAGGAACAAAGAGAAGCGAGCUCGCGAGAGUAAGCAAACCUCACAAAACUAUUCUCAGUUCGGAUUGUAGUCUGCAACUCGACUACAUGAAGCUGGAAUCGCUAGUAAUCGCGAAUCAGAAUGUCGCGGUGAAUACGUUCCCGGGUCUUGUACACACC
This 440-nucleotide ribosomal RNA is filed under the name uncultured bacterium. RNAcentral's name for it is "bacterial SSU rRNA". It matches the Rfam family "Bacterial small subunit ribosomal RNA", at positions 957 to 1391 of the family's 1533-position model. The record is from RNAcentral.